GAGGAGAGAGCAUCCGUUAAUAUGUAACUGGCCCAUGGAAACGUAUGCCUCCCUUUUUUAAUAUUAUUUUUGUUACCGUUAAACAUGGCCAGCUGUCCCCACUGUUGGCUAUUGAAGAGAGCCGUUGGAGCUCUCUCUUUUUGUCAAAUAAUACACUGCCACUUCUAAUAGAAAAAAUGAGAAGAUAUUUUUGUUAUUCUUAUUUUUUCUAAUAAUUAUUUGAAGCUUAAUUUUAAUUGGUCAAAUUGG
RNAcentral lists this long non-coding RNA (249 nucleotides) under Lathyrus oleraceus (garden pea). RNAcentral describes it as "Pisum sativum (pea) long non-coding RNA (PSAT_LNC032566)". The record is from RNAcentral. Lineage: Eukaryota; Viridiplantae; Streptophyta; Magnoliopsida; Fabales; Fabaceae.